UAGCUCGGGGUUCGGGAUGCUUCAUGGAGUGCACGGCCUCAAUAAAUUGUCCUCACUUUCGGAUCACUGUCGUUGUUGAAUAAAUCCCUUCGCCGUGAUGGUGCGUGCGCGGCGAGUUCGCCUAGACCACGGUGACCGCGCUCGGCACUCGUUGGAUCGUGGGAUGGCGCGGUCCGCAAGGAGGCCGGGUACUGCGCGAUCUCGUGGCCAUUUUUCCGUCGUUGCUACUAAUAACAAGAGGAGUGCAGUGAAAAGCCGUGAGGUUUUACGCAGCACAAAUUCUGUGUGCUCCACAGACUUGAUUUGUUCCAUCAUUAUCUAGCUAAUCGCUACGCUAUAUUUCUCCAUUUGAAACGACACAGCAUAUGUGAGCAGUUUUUUUAUCAUGCACCAUCAUGUUUCCUGGGGAGCUCUGCAUUUACUGAACUGUAUUUACCAGUGUUCAAGAAAAUCGUUGACUCGUAACUGCCCAGUUAGUGGCGACACUCCAACCUGACAGUGUUACUAGCUAACUCGAGAGGACGGAAUUCCCCCCCCCCCCACCUGCCCCCGCGUCGUCCUCCUGGGCGACUCGGGUGGCGACUAGGGUUCCCCCCGCGCCGCCACCCCCUUUUCCCGUUCUCCCUCGCCGCCACCUGAGGGUCUCGCCCGUAUAUUGCCCGCGGACGCCGGGGAAGGUGGCGGUGAGGCCUCUGACGCUUCGUCCAUGGCGGAGGUCUUCGGAUCUGGGGCGGCGGCCCUGUUUGGCGAGGCAGCGGCGUCCUCUCGGCUGGCGCCGGCUGCGGGUGAUUCUGGCCGGAUUGCUCGACCAUGCGGGUGGUGAGGCUUGGGACUACGGGAAACCGUUUGGUGGGCUUGUCCGGCCCGGCGGCAGCGACGCCUUUGGCGCCGUUCUUCCUCCCUGGAGGUGCCGCCGAGGUCCUCCCCUCUCCACCCUCGUUCCCCUCCCGGGUGAAAGCCCAAAAUCCGGCUAGGAUUGGGCGGCAACGGCGCGUUUCGUGUCGUGCUCCUCCUUGGAGGUGCCGCCUGGGGAGGGCUCGUGUUCGGGUGAGGUGUGUCAAAGGUCCGAGCUUUGGGCGGCUCUGGUUGUCUGGCGGCGGCGGUUUCGUCGGGAUUUGCUUGGCCGACAUUGUCCUCGUUCCCCUCAAGGGUGGUGCCCACUGGGUGUGGCGUGUUUGGCUCAAGGCUGGCGGUACGGCGCCUUCGAUCCGGCGGUAGGGGAUAGGGUUCCCCUUCCCAGCAUUAGCAACACGGGCCCGACGGUGGGCUCCCGGUGCUCUUCUUCAACGGCCGACGGGUCUUGCUCCUCGACGUUCUGCGGUCUUCCUUGAUGUCCUUGCCGCUCUUCUUUAGCAGCUGCUCCCGGUGGCUUUCCGGCAGUCUACUGGUGUCCUUGGUUGCGGCGGUAUAGUGGAUGUUGUGUGCUCAUUGUCCAUGGUGGUGUGCUCUGCGGUUGCUCCUGGCUCCGAGGUUGCCAUCGCUUCUGCUCUAGGGUGAGCGCUUCUCAGGUCCGCUGUUUCGAUGCCUUUCGAUCCAAGGCGAGAGGGAAGGGUCCCUCUGCGGCGCGAGAGGAGGAAGACGCCUGGUUUUCUUCAUCCUGCGAGUCAGCCUAGUUCAUGCCCACACUCUGUUCUAGCAGGUCUUCAUCCUGCUCUGCCAGUCGCUACCUUUGUUAUCAGUUUUGCUGCUGUCUUCGGCUAGUACAUGCUAUGGGCUCGGUUGUAUUCCUUUCGUGCUUGUGCGCUACGUUGAGUUGUAAGCUUCCUAGAGUGCUCCCUUGUAUCGUUGGGCCGAUGUGGUUUGGUGUAUGUUUGUAAUUCCUGACCGGUUGAUGGCUUUGUUAAUUCAAAGCCGGGCUCUUCGCGAGCCUUCGUUCUAAAAAAAAAACUGCCCAGUUAGCUGAUAAAUAGGGGGUUAAUUUAGUUAUUCCACCGAUAAAUCGGUUAGGAGGCUACUCACGACUCCCUACUCAUCUCGGUCUGCCCCGCACACUGUCAGUGAGAACCGAUAGUUUAAAAUGAGGGAUGUCGUUGGAGGGCCUCCACCUGGUUGGCUGUCCAUCCGCGGACAUUUGAGGACGCUCGUUUAAGGGAUGGUGUUGGAGAUGCCCUAAGCAAUACCAAACCAAUCAGAGAUAAAACAAAAGAUAGGAGAUAUACUUCAUUCAUUUGAAUCAUCACUUAUUUGAAUGUUAGUAACCCAAAAGUAUCUUUUGAAGCAAAUUAUAAAUAUAGUCGUUUUCCUUGUGAUAACGGUCUUGCUGACGCCGACAAUGGCGUAUGUGGACGUCGUUUUCCUCAUGGAGGUGCCAUCAUGGAUCUCGUUUCAACUCCACCAUCUUGUUUCAUGGUUGCCCGGUGGGAACCUAUGAUCGGCCUUGCCCGGUCAGAUGACAGGGCGUGUCCUCACAUCACUUCCUUCUUGAAGGUGUCAUCUUGGAGACCCAUACGAUGGCUACCGUUGCUGCAUGUGGUUGGACUGGGUGUGCUUGGUGGUGGUGGUGCGACCAGAUGGGGGUCGACGGUGGUGUCGUCUUCUCAGGACCUGGCAAAGACACUAUUUGGUGUUGUCGAGCGGCCAAAUGCUUCUUCGUGUCUCUUCUGCAGUGGUGUUCCUUUGGGGUUUGCCGGCAGUGCCUUUGGUGCCGCAGUGCUGCCAUUUGUUCCCCCUCGUGAUGUUCCUCGUGAUGUUCUUCUACACGGUAACCCAGCGAUUCCUCUUCUCACCAAAUGAGCUACCAAGAAUUAUUUGUCUGCCAUCUACUUGGGUCCUUUGUUUUUGUCUGUUUGAAGUUGGAUGUGACCUCCAUUUGCACUCCGCCAUGGUCUAUGACCGGCCUUGGUAGAGAUAUGUUCUUCUAAGGCAGUCUUUGUGAGCAUGUUACUUUGCUACUUCCCANNNNNNNNNNNNNNNNNNNNNNNNNNNNNNNNNNNNNNNNNNNNNNNNNNNNNNNNNNNNNNNNNNNNNNNNNNNNNNNNNNNNNNNNNNNNNNNNNNNNNNNNNNNNNNNNNNNNNNNNNNNNNNNNNNNNNNNNNNNNNNNNNNNNNNNNNNNNNNNNNNNNNNNNNNNNNNNNNNNNNNNNNNNNNNNNNNNNNNNNNNNNNNNNNNNNNNNNNNNNNNNNNNNNNNNNNNNNNNNNNNNNNNNNNNNNNNNNNNNNNNNNNNNNNGUGAAUUGACAUUCUCUCUAUGCAGUUGAGCCAGAGUUUUCCGCUUGGUCAUUCUCACCUCGCCAGAGAAAGACCACCCUAAUGUUUGGUGUUGGAUGGCUCGGAGUUGGUUUUGGUGUAGCUCCCGAUGAUGAACCUGUGUUAUCCAAUAUUUGUGGUUUCGGUGUUGCUGUUGUUGGUGUGCUCACUGGGUGACCGGUGAAUUUGCCUCCAUUUUUUCCUCUGGCGCAUUGUCCUGCCUUCUAGUCUCUCUUCUGCUUGUGUUGGCAUGUAUAUGCUCAUGACAUAACCAUGUGUUAUGUUGUAACUUUGUACUUGGUUUUACGAUCCUAAAUAUAUGUCUCAGGACAAUUCUGAAUUCACACACCAAGGCGAGUCCGAUCUACAGAAAUCAGUCACUCAGAUCUGGAUUACAACUUGGAAAAGAAGUAAAGUAGUUCGCCCUCCUCAUGUUCAACUUUUCAAAUAAUCCAUUUGUGAUGCCCUCUGCAACCUAGCACCAUCAUAUUUAACAACACAUCCAAGCCUCUCACUUACAGGUAGGCCUAACUUUGGAACUUAACCCAUUCGGGUCCCGCAUGCUUCUUUGAUGGUAUGAAGGUUCUCUGUGACCUACAGGGCCCAACUCAUGGCUCUUUAUCCAUAGUAAGCUAUUGCUCAUGGAAUUACAACUUCCUCCGGCUUCAAUUUCGCCAGGCUCGACAAUGGCUUCAACGCCUUUGGUUGCAGUUCCUUCAAGCUCCCCUUUUUUUAGCUUCAGACUGUUCGACCUCUUCAGUUGCUGCACAUUUGGCAAACACAUGGAUGCGUCUCUCUUUUCCCAGUAGCGUUUCAUGUGGGAUGCAACAGCUGGUUCUAUGUAUUUACCUUGUUAUAUAUGGCUUUCGCCUAGGUUUCUCUUAUAAACCGAGUCAACUUGUUGACGUUUUUUUAUGUUUCCCUUACAAUUUGGAUCAGUCUCUUCGCAUAUGGCCAACUCUGAGCAAUAUAGUCAGGUGGCGAAAUCCACCCCUCCCACAGUUCCUAAAAAAGUCGCUUUCACAUGAUAUGCCUAUAAAAUUCUUUUUCUAAAAUAAUGCCCUGGCAAAAUACCGCAGAAUAGCAUAUGCCAUGGAGUAGUGACGCAAGAUUCCAUUCAAAUUCAUGCAGAGUGGGAGUAUCCUCCCCCUAGAGAUCACGAUGGCGGGGGUUCUCUUGUCAUUGUCUUUGGUUUUUCACCCAAAUAUGAAGGAAGUGGAGUUUCAUGCAUGCUUACCGGAUCUUUAUAUUGCAUCAGCCUAUCAUUUUAGAGACUCUUUGUGAAAACUUAAUAUCUGAUGAGGUGCUAUGACAGCCUUCGUGGAUUUAAAGAGAGGCUUUUAGGGGCAAUCGCAAAGUACUCCCUCUGUUUGUAUUUACUCCGCGUAUUAGCUUUGGUCAAAGUCAAGCUUUAUAAAGCUUAACAAAGUUUAGAGACAAAAAAUAUUAACAUAUACAAUAACAAAUUAAUACCAUUAGAUUUAUUAUUGAAUGUACUUUCACAUCAUAUAGAUUUGUUAUGAUAAAUGUUUAUAUUUUUUUCUCUAAACUUGAUCAAAUUUUGCAAAGUUUGUUUUCAGUCAAAUCUAUAUGCAGACUAAAUAAAAAUGAAGGGAGUAAAUCAAUUGUUGUGAUGUUUAUUUUUCUUUACCCUAUAACUAUUUCUUUUGUUGUAUAUAUAUACUCUGAAGAUAAAUGGAUAUCCCACAACCAAACUCUGAGACUUGAACGGUAUUACCUCCGUCCUGGUUUAUUAGUCUCCUAUGUGAUUUGUGUUAAAUUUUGACCAAAAAUUUAACUGACAAAAUGUUAGUGCAUGUCAACAAAAAUUAUAUCAUUGAAUUUGUAUUUGAACUAGUUUUUGAUGAUAUAAUUUUUUAUGACAUGCAUGAACAUUUUUUAGUUAAAUUUAUCAUCAAAAUUAAACACAGAUUACAAUGAGGACCAAUAAACCAGAAAUCUCUACUCUUAAUGGACGACUUCGUGAAUAGUCUGCGCGGUUUUUUUUCGCUGUUUUUUUUCGUCAUCCUCCCACCUCCGUUUUAUUUUCGUCAUCCUCCCACCACUUUCGUCUGGAUUUUUUCGUCCCCCUCUCCCACCCCAUCGGUUUAUUUUUUCACUAUUUCCUUCUAAACAAACACUUUCCUACCAUACAAAAAGACAUAGAUCUAACUUUACUAAAUUACCCAAAUCAAAUGAUCCAUCUCAUCAAUGCAAUUUGCUUUAAGAAACAUAUAAUGGAUGUGAAGGAAACAAAUAACAGACUACCCAAAUCAACCGAUCCAUCCCAUCAAUGCAAUUUGAUUUAGGAAACAUAUAAUAAAUUUUAAGGAAAUAAAUAACAGACUUUAAAGAAAAAUCCAAUUAACUAAUCUCUACUCUUAAAGGCCCCUCGAUUGAUUUUUGUUCCUCGCUUCUUUUCCCAGCACUGAUACAAUGGGAAGAAUUAUAAUCCACCUAUUUGUUCUCCUAUAUAUCCGUACAGGCAACACAACAUAAGCCGUCGCGGAACCCUAGGGCAGGACAUGGUCGCGUUGCGGGCAGCGCGAGCGGCCGUGCGUCUCCCCCGUCAGGUUGUCCUCGGCAGGAACUCGAGACCUCCUCCUGACAGAGCCAAGGCCCUCCGAGGUCCAAGUCGCUGUGCGGCGUGCACCGUGAGCCCCGCGUGUGUGGCCACUGCAUCAGGUAACAACCUCCACAACUCCACAAGCCCCAUCGCAAGUUUGUUUUUUCGUCAUGUGCUCACGACUGAAAGAAUUCUGCUGUAUUUAGGGCAUGUACGGUUGUGCGUCCCUUGCUCCACGUCUCGGCUUUCACGUCCCCUGCUCCGGAUGGACGCACCAAACUCCACAACUUCCCGGCAAUCCGACAACGCCCUGCCGGAUUGAUAUGUAUGACAAUAUUAAUAUUGAACUCUUAAAAUUAAUGUGGCCCCGUUGCAACGCACGGGCGUUCUUCUAGUCAACAUUAAUCUUCCAAUCAAUCAAAGCAACUUAUGAAUGUAAGUCGCUUUCACAAUUUGUAUGCCCGUCUAUCUAUCCUGGAAACUUUCCGUCCAAUAGUGCCCUGGAAUCUUCCCACCCGCGGGUUCGACGGCGACGGGGGGAGGGAUUCCAUUCCGGCAGAGCAUCCUCCCCCCACGUCCCACGAUGUGUGCCGCGUGCCGGCGAGUGGCCAGCUGGCGAGCCUUAUCCGCCGCCUCUGCCUCGCGCGCCGAUGCUGAGGCGGGCCAUGGCGCUGGCGCUGACCCUCGCCGCGGCUGCCAUGUGGGCCCCGCCGCGCACCGGCCACGCGUGCUCCUCCGCCGCCGGCCGCGUGCCGCACGUGACGAGCGCCCACUCGAAGGGACGCCUCGUGGGGGCGGUGGGGCCCGGCUGCCACUCCGCCAGUUCCACUUCCGCUUCCAAGUCCACCACGCGCAGUUCCAGGCGGGACCGCACCGACGCCACCGGAGCCCCAAUGGCCGCCGCCGAUGCCGCCGGAGACCUCAGGUCGGAGUUCCUCGAGGUGCUGCUCAGCCGCCGUCGCGACCGCCAAGGUCAGCCGGCCCCACCCCCACUCCCUUUCUCUCUCCCGCGCGCCGUGGGUUUGCAGCAUAUUCAUCAAUGGCUUUGCUCCGAAUCUGCUCGUGGCAGUGCCUAUGACCGUGGAGCAAGGGAGCCCGGUGAAGGAGCCGCUGUACCAAGGCAACGGGCCUCUGGGGCUCAGAGAGGUCAGGAUCCUCCAUCGAUAAUUUUUUGGUUUUUGCCGGGAGGAUCCUCCAUCGAUCCGAGCAAACACAGUCCGCCUUCCAGAUCGCGGCCACCGUGUUGACUCCACAGUGUCUGAAUUUUUUUCCCCAGGCCAUGGAGUCGUGCCCGAGGAAGGAGGUGGAGGACUUCCAGGAGAAGCUGAUUGAAGAAAAUUUCUACCUGAUGACCGAGGUACUUUUUUGGCCAUGUAGUCAGUUAUAUGAUCAACAGAUUGAUUCGUCGUAGGUGUUAAGUGGAUACAUUGCACAUUGCUUGUUUCUGAAUAUUACACUGCAGACUGCCUGCCUACAUCUUUGCAGUUUAACUUGAGAUCAGUGAAAACCAACUAUACAUUUGAUCUGAGCAGCUCAAAAGGUAGUAGAGGAGCAACAGUAGUGUGCAUUUUGUCUAGGCGUGUCCGUUGCAUCUCAGUGCUCGCCAUAGACAGAUUGAUAUUGCAUCUCAGUACAGUACAUGUGCUUCACUUAUUAGCACAUUGCUGCCAUGUUUCCACCCAGACCCUCUGUCUGAAGCACCCACUUGUGGAGGCCCUGAUAGUUGGUGUAUUAAAUGUGGGUAAAUGUGGUUCCGAGAUCCAGCUCCAGUUGAGUCUACAGUUAACGCGCACUGGCUUGGCUUUAUUGUGCCUCUUGUCCCCUGAACAGCAGAAUUUGUUACACCUUUUUUCUCCCAACAGUCAGGUGAACAGGGACGCCUACCUGUGCUUCUACUGAAACUUAAUGACACUGCUCCUGAAAGAAAGCCCGUUGUUGUAAUACUGCACAGCUCUUACAAAUGCAAGGAAUGGUUGCGUCCACUGCUUGAGGUAAAAUUACCUCUCAUUUCAACCAUACCAGCAUGCCCAUACGAAGUGCGCAUCAAUGUUUAACGCUGGUUAUUGUUCUUAAAACUUGCUUGCACAUUUGCAGGCAUAUGCCUCCAGGGGUUAUAUUGCUGUCGCCAUCGAUUCUCGUUAUCACGGUGAAAGGGCCAGCAGCAAGACUACUUACAUAGAGGUAAUCUACUUACUUCCAUUUAUGUGCCACCGAUUUCAUGAAACGUUCGACAACUGUAGUAUCCACAGUUGGUCUGAUCAUCCCUACUUUCAUGGUUUAAACACAGGCACUGAAUUCAGCUUGGAGGAAUGGGGACACUAUGCCUUUUAUUUUUGACACGGUACCAAAUGUUAUUUCCACCUGUUACAAUUGAUGUUUUGAUUGUUCUAAGUUCUGUCAACAGUGUUCUUCAAUUUGCCCACCAAAUACAUUUUUUUUUAAUAAAUGGAUUGGUUCUGUACCAAUAAAUGUCAAACCGGACAUGUAUAGCACAUGCCUUUAGUUGGGCUGGCCCAGUGCCAUGCCUGGUGGCUGGUGGUCUACUCUUUAACUAACCUGAUGGGUAAGCCACUGUUGUUGGUGUUAGUCCAGCUGUACUGGUGCCAUAACUGCACUAUCUGGGUUGGCACUUCAGUUGAAUUCUGGAUUUAUUCUCCUUGUCUGGUUCUGUCCUUAUGAUUGUCUUCUACUGUAUGCCUUGGUAUAUCAUACUUCAAAACAUGUUACGACUGUUUUUUUGCGAUACUCAGUGAGGAACAUGUGCAGGUGUGGGACUUGAUAAAGCUUGGAGAUUAUCUUAGUGCAAGGGAGGAUGUCGAUCCCUCUAGGAUAGGGAUUACUGGUGAAUCGCUUGGAGGUAUUAUAGAUCAUGAUUGCAUCAUGAUACUGAAUUAAUACGUAGACUUCAGUUUUGGAAAAUUUAUCUUUUUUAUUUGGAGCUGAAUACAGGAAUGCAUGCAUGGUUUGCUGCCUUUGUGGAUACACGGUACAGUGUUGUUGUUCCAAUAAUUGGUGUUCAGGUACACACAACAGUAAUUUGUCGAUAUGGGUGCACAUAGUUUUGUGAUUUGUCCCAUCUAAGUAAAGCAAUGCUCUUUGGUGGCUACAGGGAUUUCAAUGGGCAAUAGAUAAUGACAAGUGGCAAGCUAGAGUUGAUAGCAUUAAGCCUUUAUUUGAAGGUUAGAUACCAUGCAUCCUCUUUAAGAUUGGGCACACACCAUUGAAACAUAUAGAUGACAACUGAAAUAUACUGUAUCAGUUCAGAACAUUUACAUGUAAGUAUCUAUGCCGUUUUGUCUUUCCUGUAGAAGCAAGAAUUGAUUCAGGGAAGAGUGAAAUAGAUGCAGAGGUUGUGAAAAAGGUGACUAUCUGAUUUAGUUGACAUUUAUUUCUGAUUGUUCCAUUAGAAAUGUUUCAUGAUCGUGUAUUGACAUAUUUUUACCAGGUUUGGGACAAGAUAGCACCUGGUAUGGCUUCACAGUUUGAUGCUCCCUACUCAGUUCCUCUGAUUGCACCACGCCCGCUCCUCCUCCUAAAUGGUAAAACCAAAUCAUAUUUCUUAUUCAGUGCUUCUGCUUCGUCCAAUAGUUGUUGCAUAACCCAACAUAUUCAAAAGUCUCACUUCUCUUUUAUGAGUUCAAUGAGCACUUGUCAGGGCUGGGCUUCCAGUCUUCAGUGUAUAUUUUUGUUUUAUUCUUUUAUGGUUGAGGCAGAACUGUUGUUAACCCUUUGUUUGAAAAUUAAUGUUAAUUGAGCAUGUUUCUUGCUGCUGGAGCUUCAUUUACAAAUUACCAUGCAGGUGCUGACGACCCUCGUUGCCCAGUCCUUGGUCUACAAGAACCUGCCUCCAAAGCUGCUGAGGCUUACGAAAAAGCUGGUUCUGCGGAUAAGUUCAAGGUAACAUGCAAUCUACUAUCUUUUCACCGCUCUUUUGAGGCCACACAUGAACUCUCACUAGUUAAAACCUAUGAAGACGAGAUUUUCUUUAAAUAUUGUAACGAGCUUGGUUUAAUACUCCCUCCAUCCAGAAUUAACUGUCGCUGAAAUGAGUGUAUCUACACACUGAAACAUGUCUAGAACUCUAGAUGCACUCAUUUAAGCGACAGUUAAUUCCGGACGGAAGUUUUACUUCUCAAACUUGUAUUCAUUUUUGUCAGGCUAUAUGGCUAAACCUGCUGGAAAAAUAAUAAUUGUUAGUACUAAUAAUCUUGCAUUAUACGUACAUCAAUAUGUUUGUAAAUUUGUCAUUUAAAGGUAUUCUCUCCUGGAGGGAGAAAAAUCAAGAAGUUCUUCUAAUUUAAAGCUAUGGAUUAAUCUGGGCAGUGCUAACUACUAAGAUAGCAAACAUUUAUACAAACCUGGAAAAAGAUGAGACUUCAAUCCUACAAUGUAAAAUAAUAAGAUAAAACAUCGGAAUUAUGCUUUUCAAUGGGUUUGGUACAAGUUUAAAUACAAACUUUCUCCGGGAAAUUUAGAUCUGAUUUAGGCUUAGAGCUAGCUAACAAUGUACUCCCUCCGUCCGGAAAUACUUGUCAUCAAAAUGAACAAAAGGGGAUGUAUCUAGGCGUAUUUUAGUUCGACAUACAUCCCUUUUUAUCCAUUUUGAUGACAAGUAUUUUUGGACGGACGGAGUAAUUAUCUAACUUGGGCAAAAAAGGGUACGAGAUACAGAAAUGGGUGCCAUCUGGAUUUAAAAUGCCAUUCAAAUAAAAGUUGUCUAUUUCUUGACAUGCAACAUGUUUACUUUGCACCAUGAGGUGUGGUUCUAUGUUUGCUCGGACUUUUUUUGCACGAAUCCCAAAGCAAUCACAGUGGUUAUUCUAAGGGCAUAUUAGUAAUCCUAAUUAGAUAGGGGCUUCGUAACUCCAAGUGCAAGUGCCCAAAGCAAAGCCCAUGCAAGAACGAGGCCCAAAGCAAAGCCCAUGCAAGAACGAGUCCACGGUGCCCUCAGCUUCCAAUCUGUUCCCCCGUGCGAUCUCCUCUUUGAGCGCUGCCGCGCGAGCUCCACGCCCAAGGCCACCACCUGGACUCACUGCAAUCCUGCCGCCAGGUCUCCUACCGCAUCUCGCCGCGCCUCCAAUACUUGGAUAAGAAAUAUGAUUAGUUUCUCCUCUGAUUGCACCACGUCUGUGCCUUACGCGUCCAACAUUGUCACCCAUACCCGUGCUGCAACCGGCCGCCUAGUUUCUUCCUGCAACCAUCGCCGCCCGGACUCCUUCGACCCGCACGCAUCCAGUGCCACAACUGCUGACUCUAUCUCUGAUCCUCCCUCCCUCCCAUUUUCCAAUUCUCAUUGCAAGCGCCGACCUGUUUCUAAGCCUGGGUGCCCGAACUCCACUGUUCCAUGGCCUCAGAAAGGUGUGUUUCACUUGAAUCUAUAUUUGUUUAUAUAUCAGUAGAACAAAAAGGAAAACGUCAGUGCACUUAAAUUGGAAAAUUCUUCUUUGUCAUCUGAAGGAGGGCAUCGUUUAGUGCCAGUUAUUGUUGUUUAUUUUUUACUAUAAUGAAUAAGCUUAAUCAGUGGGUAGUGGUUUAAUAUUCUUUACUAUAGCUCGAAGAAAAGUGAGACCGAGGAUACAGUAGAUGCCAUUGUUGUUUAUUUUAUAAAUAUGCUUCCCCAAUUUUGAAAGCCAAAAUUCGGAAAUUGUUGGAUGUACAAAGUGAUAAUAUAUUUUAAAAAGGAGUUUUAUAACUUCCAAACGUUCGUAUUUUAGCAAUAGGCAAGAACGAUCCUUACUUCAUUUUAAUUAUAUACAUGCAUGCAUUAAAAUGACUAAUUUCCUUUCGUGUGCACUCCUACCUCUAAUUACAUGCAUAUAUGCACUAAAAGACGAAAAGCUGAUGUCAUGCUAGAUUUCCCCCUAUUUCAAACUUUAAAAUGUUUUGUAGCUCAAACCGUCGCUCCGAUUGAAAAAACAUUUUCACAUAAAAGAUUUGUCGCAAUGAGACCUUCAAAAGUAGAUCCCAUGUUGAUAUGUUCCGACGACUUUUUUUCGGGUCAAAAGUUAUCACGCCCAUGCUAAAUAAGUUACCACGUCUGUGGUAUAUAAGUUACCAUCUUGUUUAUAUAGAAAUUGCCAGGCCAUAAAAAUGGGGUAUAUCAGGACCGAGACACAUAAGUUAUCAGGUCUUCGAUGAUGAGUUACUAAGUGAUUCACACAAAAAAGUUAACGGGGGAUAUUUCAUCAACCCCCCCCCCCCUCCAUGCCAAAGUUAUCAGGACCGAGGUACAUAAGUUAUCAGGUCAGCGAUGUGUGAGUUACUAUGCUAUUCACAUAAACGUUACCAGGAGAAUAUUUCAUCAACCACCCCUGCCCCUCCCCCACUGGAGGAAAAGUUACGAGGACCGGGGUACAUAAGUUAUCAGGUCUGCGAUUAGUGAGUUGCCAUGCCAUUAACAUUAAAGUUACCAUGGGUNNNNNNNNNNNNNNNNNNNNNNNNNNNNNNNNNNNNNNNNNNNNNNNNNNNNNNNNNNNNNNNNNNNNNNNNNNNNNNNNNNNNNNNNNNNNNNNNNNNNNNNNNNNNNNNNNNNNNNNNNNNNNNNNNNNNNNNNNNNNNNNNNNNNNNNNNNNNNNNNNNNNNNNNNNNNNNNNNNNNNNNNNNNNNNNNNNNNNNNNNNNNNNNNNNNNNNNNNNNNNNNNNNNNNNNNNNNNNNNNNNNNNNNNNNNNNNNNNNNNNNNNNNNNNNNNNNNNNNNNNNNNNNNNNNNNNNNNNNNNNNNNNNNNNNNNNNNNNNNNNNNNNNNNNNNNNNNNNAAGACCGAGGUACAUAAGUUAUCAGGUCUCAAUGUGUGAGUUACCAUGCUAUUCACAUAAAAGUUACCAGGGGAUAUUUCAUCAACUCCCCUCCCUCCGGCCAAAGUAAUUAGGACCAGUGUACAAAAGUUGCCAGGUCUAUGACGUGUAAGUUACCAUGCUAUUCACAAGAAAGUUACUGGGAGUAUAUUUCAUCAACCUCCCCCCACCCCGCCUCCUCCGAGGUAGUGGAGGGAGCGGCCUCGCACCUUCUUGAUCGCGGGCGAAAACUCCUCCUUGACGGCGAGACGGUGGCGGUGGCGUGUGCAUGCGGCCGUACCGGCUGCGUGGCGGGGACGCCAACUCCUCCUUGACCCGGCAUCCAAUCUAGAUGUCGCGGUGGUGCCGGGGUGAGGCUGGCUCCUCCUUCACGUGGCGUCUGACCUGGACGCCAUGAUUGUGCCGGGGCGAGGCCGACUCCUCCUUCACAGGUCGGAGCGGGGACGUCGGCUCGUACUUCACGCGGUGGUGUGCGCGGGGACAGCAGCUCCUCCUUCACACGCGCCGGCGAUGGCUGUGACGGGCCCAUGUAAUGGAGAGACUGCUCCGUCAUUAUCUCAACCGAGAGAGCAGCCAAUGGAAUUAAAUAGCAACUCAAAGCAAGAUGUUCAACAGAGCUCCCAAAAUCAAUAUAUUCACCAAAUAACUUCUAAAAUUCAAAGGGGUGAAUGGACGAGCGUUGUUGGUUCAUCGAUUCACUAGGUUCGGGUAAAAAAUAGUACGUAAGUGCGAAAAAAUGGGAAACUGAAAUAAGUUGUUUGUGUGCAAACGUAGAAGAGUAAACGAGUUAAAUAGCAUAUUUGGUUUCAUUAUUUCAAGAGAAAGAAUGUAGGUCAGGUGGCUCACUAGCCGAGUAAUCUACCUAAGAGGUACACGAUUCGAUUCCUGCUCGUCACGAUAGUUUUUGCACUUCAAUCAAAGUACGCGAGAAAAACAGAGAAAAGAAUAUCAAAUCAGAUCAGAGCUAAGCACAUAACAGCGUUAGGUCGGGUGGUUAGCUUGAGGAUAGCACGCUCAAGAGGUGGAAGGUUCGAAUCCAACGGCAGGAUCACUUUUUUGAGAAAAAAAAUAAAAGCGAGCGACAAGGAGGUGAAGCCCUGGAGCAUCAUUCGGAUCUAUUGCCAAGGUCCGAACGUUCGCUCGUUAUUUUUGUCGUUUUAAAAAAGAUGUUCAUGGAUGAACUUCUCUCAUUUUUAGUAUUGAUUCAUAAAAACUCUUGGUUUUAGAUGCAUACUAAAAAUGAGAGGGGCUCAAUCGGGACCGUCUUUGUUAACAUAUGUUAUCACUUUGUACAUCGCGGCAACUUCAGCUUUCAAAAUUGGGGAUGCACAUUUAAAAAUAAACAGCAAUGGCAACAAUUGCGUCACUUAUUUCCGGAUGGAUGGAGGGAGUAACAGAUUUGAUCUGCUCGCAAACCAACUCUAUCCAAGAACAUAAUGAACUUGAAAAAAAUCUCCACCUGGAAAUGGCUGUGCUGCAUGGAGAGGCGAUGUCGGUGGCUCAUUCAGCCGAGCCUUUUCAGACUCUUCCUCCGUUUUGUAUUUAAGCCGCCCGGCCAGCAUAUUCUUGGAAGCAAUGCGCAGAAAACCAACCGAUUACUGCUGGUAAGCGAUGGGGAGAUGGCACUGACCGCCAGCUACACAUGCGCCUGGUCCACCGUCUGUUUUGGAAACCAAGCCAGACCUGGACUUUCAAUCCAAUAAUCGUUCUCAUUCCAAGGAGAGGACCACCUCUCUCCAUGUCCUAAACGCUGAAACCAUGUGGAGCUGCGGCGCUCAGGCGCCACAUACCAGAACGAGUGGGGAAUCGAAUGCUCAAAUUCUUCUUCACCAAUGCGGUAACCCGUAAUCAUUAUCUCCCGAUGAAGUAUCUUGGCCUGGUUGAUUGAUGCUUUCUCUGUAGCAUAGGUUGCAUUGCAACUUUUCCUUUUUAAUUUUUUCGCUUUUCAGCUUUAUUCCGUUGAUAAGUGUCCAUCUUCUCCGCGACAAGUGCAUGAUUGUGUAGAUCUAGGAGGAUAAGGGCAAAGGUAUUAUCCAGAAAAACAAAGGUUGGCUUUUUUGGGUCGCUAACAGCAUCUUUUAUCUGUGCUGCAUGUUCAGUUCAUCGCGGAGCCGGGUGUUGGGCACAGGAUGACCGCGAGCAUGGUGAAGGAAGCGAGCGACUGGUUCGACCGCUUCCUGUAGAAGGCGGUUCCAAAUGAACAUGGCACCUUGUACUACCAUGCAUGCCUAAUGAAGUGCAUGCCCUCAAUAAAUUGCCCUCUGAUUUGGGUUGCAUUCCUGCUGACCGAGACCGGAAUCAGUUAGCCCAGCUUGAUCAUCAUUACUUCCACUACCUAAUCUCUAAUGCUGGUCAGACGUGGAACAGAAUUGUGCUCCUGUAUUGUGCUAGUAUCUGAGACCGUAUUUUUUCACGGACUCCGCAUUUACCGAACCGUAUCUACCGUGUAUACGGUCCGUCCGUACGGCGAGUUUCAUCAGAAGAAAUUAAUUUGUCCCCGUGCUCACGUGGUGCCCCGUCGCCCUGCAUGAAUGAAUGAACGAACGAACGAGACGACGAGCCUGCUGUGGGCGACAUGUCAACGGCUACAGGGGCAGAUGGUCCACUGGUAUAUACGAGUAGUAUAAUCAGGUGACGUGGACCCGGUAGACGUUGGUACAAUACUGCUGCUGGUCUGGUCGGUGUGGCCGGGCCAACGUACGCGUGAGCUGCGUGAUGCGUCGGAGUCGGCAUUUAGAGCAUCUCCAACAGGCGCCCAACGCGUCGCGCGUUAAAAAUGGAUUUGGCGCGUGCCCAUCGCUUGGUUUGGUGUGGCGUGCAGCGUUUGCUUCAGCAGCCACGCUGAAAAGCCGCGCGCACAGCUUUAGCAGGCGCGAUAAAAUGCAGCGCGUGCUCAUUCUAUAAUAUUUUUUAAAUUAAAAUUACAUAGAUAAAAAAAUGAUACAAAGAUAUUUUACAUCGGUGGAACUACUACGGCAUAGAUAGAUAGAUAGUUCAACAUACAUAGAUAGAUAGAUAGAUACUACUAAGGCAUAGAUAGAUAGAUAGAAACUACUAUGGCAUACAUAGAUAGAAAACUACUUCAAGUCGCUACCAUCACCAUCAUCACUCUCGUCGGUGUUGUCCGAGGUUAAGAGCCAUAUGUCGUCCCAACGUUCAUCGUCCGAGGUGAAGAACGACCUCCCACCUGCGGAGACGAUGUCGCACUGCUCGUUCGCCACUGCCUUCCGCUGACGCCGGUCCGCCGGCUCCGAGCGGCGCCUUGCCGUCCUCUCCGCACAGUAGGCACGCUCGGCGUCGACGUCCUCUGGGUGACGACGACGCCACUCCGCCAUGGCUCGCUCGUCCUCGGCGACGAGGAGACAGCGCUGCCGCCGAGAGUGGUCGGCACGGUCCAUGUCCGUGAUGAGACGCGGCGGAGGGGCGAGGCGCUGCGCCUCCUCGCGCGUGAAGACGUCCCGGAAAUUCAUCUGCGACCGGGGCCUCUCCAAGCGCCACGCCGCCGCGUCGUACGCGCGGGCCGCCUCGCGCGCGCUCUGGAACGUCCCGAGGCCGAGCCGGACGUCGCCGGACCGUAUCUCGGCGGAGUACCAGCCGUUGGGGCGCUCGCGGACGCCGCGAAAGCCCGAAGCACCCCGGCGGCGCGACGGCAUGGUGGCGCGGUGGUGACGCAGAAAGCGGCGAAGCGGCGAGGUUGCAAGGAGGAAGGCGCGUGGCUGUUCUGUGCGCGUGGCGAAGCGCGAAACUUUAUAAACGCGCGUGAAGCGGCGCGCCAAAUCUACCGCGCCGCGUGCCGCUUUCUCCCGCGCGCGCGCAAACGCUUCCGCGUGCGGUAACUUCCCGUCACCGCUGAAGCGCGUGAAACCAACCGACGCGCGCAAAAAACUGCUUUUACCACGCGGGCGCGCGUUUUGCGGCGCCUGUUCGAGAUGCUCUUAUACCGGUACUCUCCAGCGGAAUCGCAAGCCGGCACGCCGUCGCGAGCGUCUCCAGGACUUUCCUACUUGCCGUAUUAUUUUAUUUUAUCUUGACGUGAAAGCAGUCACGGGGACGUGGUCGUUUUCUUGCAUAUUUUAUUGUCGAAAAAGAGCGAGCACGUACUGUAUAGACGACACUGGCCCUCAUGAUGCGCAAUGCAUACGUGUUCACGAGGUGGCGCGUCUCCUAACCACACACACUACUACACUGGAAUGGCCAAGGCUGAGGUUUGCGUAAAAUUUUCGAUCUUUUCAUUGAUAACAUAACAGUACAGCGAGCACAAAAGAUAUUAAAUAUUAUAUCCGUAGACAUCUAGCGACGACUGUAAAUACCGAAGUGAGCGAAAGACGCGCCGCCGUCAUCACACCUCCCUCGCUGGAGCCGGGCGAAACUCGUUGUAGUAGACAGUCGAGAAAUCAUUAUGCUAAGGCCCCAUAAAACCAGCGCACCAAAAAAAAACAACCGCCGCCGAUGAAGAGAAGUAUAGAUCGAAAAAAAUCCAACAUAAAGGCACACCAACAUUGACGAGCGAAGACCGGAUCUGAGCAGAUCUUGCAAAGACAACCACUGACCGAAUUAUGCGAGAUCCAUCGGAAAGACACCUUCACACGCCCUCCGACGCACACCGUCGGGAUGGGGGCCAAGACUGGGGAUAGAAGCAACUUUUUUUUUAUAAUUAUACUCCCUCCAUUCUGAAAUGCUUGUCGGAGAAAUAAAUGCAUUCAGACCUAUUUUAGUUUAAUUACAUUUGUUUUUAUUAUUUUUUCGACAAGUAUUUUCGGACGAAGGAAACAUGCAUUUAACAGGUGAGCACCAGGAUUAGAACCUGGGUCAAAUCUUUCCCUUUCGCGCACCGUUUUGUUCAAAGUUCUUGGUGCGCGGAAGGCAUCAAAGCGCCGAGAACGGACCCACGCUGUCUCGAGCACAUAGUGGGAACGCUUCUCAACCACGAAUUACUGUACAUAUACCAGAUUAUAACUAUUCAAUUUAAUUAGAAGAAGAUCUAGUCUAGAGUCUAGAAUGAAAACAAGAGCAAAUCAGGACGGCCGACGAACGAGUAGUGUGUUGGCGGGUCAUGCUCCGGCGCAUUCGUCGUCCGGGCAGUGGGCGGCGCGUCGCUCUGACGCCGGGAACGUCCACGGCGCAACGGACGGCUUGAUACCUACAUACAUGGUCUGUUGCGAGGUCAUUUUCCGGCCACCCUUAAUUAUUCAUUCUCCUCUGCGUGCACACAAGAUGCUACUAGUUAGUUAGAUAUCCUCCGUGCUGUGCUGUCCAUGCAUAACUCGCCACGCUAAUUCCCUUCUUGUCCCGUUCCGCCCCCAGCUAAUUCGAUCAACCACGCGUGCUUGAUAAUGGGUUGUACAACAUGAUACUCCUACAUACACAAUAUACACCGACAUUUCCGUUGGUCUCGUUCACCUCACCACUCAUAUGUACUCCGUCUGUUUCUUAAUACAAGUCUUUGUAAAGAUUUCAAUGUAGACUACCCCCUCUGUAAACUAAUAUAAGAGCGUUUAGUAAUUAAUAUAGAAGUGUUUAGAUCACAAAAGGUAGUAAUCUAAAUGCUUUUAUAUUAGUUUACGGAGGGAGUACAUACGAAGUAAAAUGAGUGAAUCUACACUCUAAAUUACAUCUAUCUGUAAUAUACAUCCGUAUGUACUUUAUAUUAAGAUCUAUAAAAAGACUUACAUUUAGGAAAGAGGGGAGUAUGUCGCAAUCAAUUAAUUAGUUGAUACUAUAAAAUACGAAUUUCGGCUAAAUAACACCGAAAACGUUAUAUAUAUCGAUGAGCUGUAUAGUGUAGACGUUAGACGGGAUCUAUACUACACACGACGUGCCACCGAUGAAUGGGAGAUCUUAAUUAUUAGAACUAGAUCACAAAUAAGAGAUACACUCGGUCCGGCGCAACAAAUCCAUCCAUGAUGGCGAUGCUACUAAGACAAGGUGGCAAAGGCAAGUUAAACUAAUGCUAGAGUACUUAGCCUGGAUAGCCAUCACCGACACACGGCACACAAUGGCGAAAGCUUUACCCAAAAGUGACAUCCAAUCCAAGAGCCCGAUUUUCUCGCCAGUGCGGAGAAAAGGCGCCCGAGCAUCGCUCUCCCACUCACUCGCACGUCCCGGUCGCUUCCACCCAGCGCGCGCGAUUGCUCAUCCGUACGCAAAUCGAAGCAGCGGUUAACGUAGACACUCCACGCAGAGUUCUCAGACACGAAGCGAAAUGAAUCUCGUGCAGGCAAGGCAACAACCGGACGGUUUAUUUCCCGGUUUGUCCAACCAACGUGUCGGCUUCGCGAAAGGGACAGGACGGUUUUUGGGGGGUCUCUGUCAGUCCCGGUCUCCGCAUGCAUUGGCUGAUCGGACUCCUUUCAAAAGUUUCACUUGUCGAUCGAUGUGUGCACUGCACCUACUUACUUAUAUUGUUCAUAUUUUUGUAACGUUAUUGUAUGAAUUAGAAAGCUUUCCUUUUNNNNNNNNNNNNNNNNNNNNNNNNNNNNNNNNNNNNNNNNNNNNNNNNNNNNNNNNNNNNNNNNNNNNNNNNNNNNNNNNNNNNNNNNNNNNNNNNNNNNNNNNNNNNNNNNNNNNNNNNNNNNNNNNNNNNNNNNNNNNNNNNNNNNNNNNNNNNNNNNNNNNNNNNNNNNNNNNNNNNNNNNNNNNNNNNNNNNNNNNNNNNNNNNNNNNNNNNNNNNNNNNNNNNNNNNNNNNNNNNNNNNNNNNNNNNNNNNNNNNNNNNNNNNNNNNNNNNNNNNNNNNNNNNNNNNNNNNNNNNNNNNNNNNNNNNNNNNNNNNNNNNNNNNNNNNNNNNNNNNNNNNNNNNNNNNNNNNNNNNNNNNNNNNNNNNNNNNNNNNNNNNNNNNNNNNNNNNNNNNNNNNNNNNNNNNNNNNNNNNNNNNNNNNNNNNNNNNNNNNNNNNNNNNNNNNNNNNNNNNNNNNNNNNNNNNNNNNNNNNNNNNNNNNNNNNNNNNNNNNNNNNNNNGAUAUCGCACCGCACUGUUUGGAGAUGGGCAUUACGCGGAUUAUAUAGCUUCGUUUAGAGUGGGUUUUUUUUUUUCUGUUGUUACUUCUAGUUCUAGGAUAUCAACAACAUACAGAAUAUUGGAUUGCAUGCAUCUUUUUUUUCGCGAAUACGCUUGGGAUUGCAUGCAUCUACCACGCCACUGUUUUCCAAGGGUAUGUUCAGCCCGCGUUUCGACAAACUAACAAAAAACGGAAACUUGUUGUAGAUUCACAAGGUAACUUAAGUUUGAUACCAACCACGAGAAGAUAUCUUUUGUUUCUUUAGAUUUCGAGGUAAAGUUUUGUCAGAUGACUUUGUCUAAGGUUGGAAAAGACUUACCAAGCAAGGGAGGGACAUGAUAUAUGCAGAAGGCUGCCCUAUUGGUUCAAGAUUGUAUAGUAUAAGUGGACUAGUCUAUCGUGCCAUAUUCGUCAAUCUGUUAGGUGAUUUGGCCUCACACAAUAUAAUGCUUCCAUGUUUCACCAGGCACUUGAUCAACCCUAAAAAUUCAAGAGAACCCCUCUUUGUACAAUAAUCUGUGUAUCAAGCAAGAUUUUGAUCGCAAAUGGAUUGAUUGACCAUAGCUUGACUAGUAGAAUGCUAGCAGGUUUCCCAAACUCCUCUGAUAUCAAUAAACUUCAACUUCCAUAUUAACCAUUCCUGCAAAAAAAAACUUCCAUAUUAACCAAAAAGAAAAAAAACUUCAACUAUAGCGAUUUAAACGAACAGUGUGAAGAUGUUGCGUUCACGUCUUGCACUGUGAAUUUAGAAAUGACUCAAAACAUGACGUGAAGAUCGUGAGAGAUAAAGUCUUUGGAGUAAAUUGGUUCAAGAUCCCGAAGUUAGAAAAUAGUUAUCACUUAGGAAAGGCACAUGAUUCAUCAAUCCAUCAAGAAAAUUGACCUCACAUUUUUUCACUAUUCACCAGAAGCUUAACCAGCCUUGAAAACACAAGAAAAUCGUUCUUGUCGAAGAGGAUUGGGUGUCAAAGGGAGACUCGAAUCAUAAAGUAAGUGAUCGACUAGCAGAGAGCCAAAAAUUCCCUGCUUGAUUGAGAUAUGCCCAUUUGAAUCGUACAAUGGGGCUGGAAGUGCAUAUUACUAGAGGAAAUGUUUUCUCAAGGCAACCUAAGCUCCACUCAUAAUGACUGUCAUUGCAUUCUAUAGUAAACCAAGUAAGUUUCCACUACGGUCCAAUAUAGGGUUUGCACCGAUAGUGCAAAACCUUAACGUAUACGUAUGGCAUUGUGAAUGUCGAGCCAAGUGCCAACUAAGAGAUAAACUCGAGAUGUGGAAAUGACUCGAAACAUGACGCAUAGAGCAUAUGAGAGAUGAAGUCUUUGAAGCAAACCGGUUCAAGAUCCCGAAGUUAGAAAAUAGUUAUCACUCAGGAGAGGAACAUGAAAUGUGGAAGGCUAUCCCACCAGUCUACAUCAAUCCGUCCAUCAAAGUGACCUCACAUUUUUUCACUAUUCACCAAAAGUUUGAUUAGCCUUGAAAACACAAGAAAAUCCUUCUUGUCGAAGAGGAUCGUGCAUCAAAGGGAGACUUGAAUCAUAAAGUAAACGAUAGACUAGCAGAAAGCCAAAAGGAUUCUCUAAUUGAAUGAGGUAUGCCCAUUGGAAUCGUAAUAAUGGAGUUGGAAGUGCAUAUCACUAGAGAAAAUGUUUUCUCAAUGCAACCCAAACUCCACCCAUGAUGGCUAUCAUUGCAUUCCAUAGUAAACCAAAUAAGUUUCCAUUACCGUCCAAUAUAGGCUUUGCACUGACAGUGCAAAACCUUAACGUGUAUGCAUGGCAUUGUGAACGUCGAGCCAAAUGCCAACUAAGAGAUAACUUGGAUGGCAUGGAAAUGUCUCGAAACAUGACGUAGAGAGCACGAGAGAUAAAGUUGACUUUGGUGCAAACCGGUUCAAGAUCUUGAAGUUAGAAAAAUAGUUAUAACUCGGGAGAGGAACAUGAAACGUGGAAGGCUAUCACACCAGUCUACAUCGAGCCAUAUUCAUCAACCUGUCUAGCGAAUUGACCUCACAUAACUGUGUCACCAUUCACCAGAAGCUUAAUCAAGCUUGAAACACACGAGAAAAUCCUUCUUGUCGAAGAGGAUUGUGUAUCAAAGAGAGACUAGAAUCAUAAAGUGAAAGAUCGACUAGCAGAGAGGCAUGAGGAUUCCUGAAUUGAAUGGGAUAUGCCCAUUGAAAUUCUUACUCAUGGAGUCAGAAGCGCAUAUGCCACUAAAUAAAAUGCUUUCUCCGCAAACCAAAACUCCACUUGUAAUGAUUGGCAUUUCACUCCAUAUAGUAAACCGAGUAAGUUUCAACCAUCGCCCAAUAUAUUUUGCUUCCACCAACAGUGUGAACAACAUCUACGUGUACGCCUGACAUUACGAAUGUCGAGCCAAAACACCAGCUAAGGGAUAACUUGGACGAUGUGGAAAUCACUCGAAACAUGACGCCGAGAGCACGAGAGAGCUAUCCGGGGAUAGAGAUCCCACCGGACGAUACAUAUAAGACUCAUCGACGCAAACGCCACGUACCCUAUGCGGUAGGUGUCGCCGAACCCCAACAUCUGCAUCGAUCGAUGCAUACAUGCACGACUUAAGAUGGAAAAAAAAGAGAUGGAUGUGUGCAUGCUAGCUCUUUUGUGUCUGCGAGCCCCAACCUCUGCACCGAUCAACACACACGACUUAAGAUGGACGCGUGCAAGCUAGCUCUUUCACGUCGCCAAGCCCCAACCUCUGCAUCGAUCGACACACACAGCUUAAGAUGCACGCGUGCAAGCUAGCUCUUUUGCAUCGUCGAGCCCCAACCUCUGCACCGAUCGACGCACACGAUUUAAGACGGACGCGUGCACGGUAACUUUUUUUAGAAGGAGAGUGUGUGGAAAGGGCUUUGGUGUGUGAGCGGAGGCUGGGUGAGACGCACGCGCGGCCUCGGUCCCGGCGCGGGAGGAGACAUACAUUCUCUGCGCUGCCGACACUCCAAUAAACCAUUCACCCCACGGCGUCCGCCGUGAAAGCAAAUCGCACCACCACCACCUACCUACUGCCCCGAUCCAUCCAUCACCUGCUCCCCGCACGCGCACGCGCCACCGCACACCGCCGCCACGCCGCAGAGGAUCCCGCGCGCGGAGGUUGGCCCGGCCCUUUCCGGCGCGUUACCGCUCCGUCCCCCUCUUUCUUUUAGUGCUCCCUCCCCUGCCACUGCUCCACUGCACCCNNNNNNNNNNNNNNNNNNNNNNNNNNNNNNNNNNNNNNNNNNNNNNNNNNNNNNNNNNNNNNNNNNNNNNNNNNNNNNNNNNNNNNNNNNNNNNNNNNNNNNNNNNNNNNNNNNNNNNNNNNNNNNNNNNNNNNNNNNNNNNNNNNNNNNNNNNNNNNNNNNNNNNNNNNNNNNNNNNNNNNNNNNNNNNNNNNNNNNNNNNNNNNNNNNNNNNNNNNNNNNNNNNNNNNNNNNNNNNNNNNNNNNNNNNNNNNNNNNNNNNNNNNNNNNNNNNNNNNNNNNNNNNNNNNNNNNNNNNNNNNNNNNNNNNNNNNNNNNNNNNNNNNNNNNNNNNNNNNGCUUCCUCCCGCCGCAGGUACGAUCCGGCCGGGCCGGAGCCCAAAACCCUCCCGCAGAGCCGCUCCGCUUCCCGUUUCUUUCCAUUUUCGCUCUUCCGGUUUUCUUGAUCGUGGGCGCUCGCCGGUGGCUCGGGCAGGAUUCAAGUCGGUGGAGAUGAUGCACGGCAAGUCGGACUCGGACAUCACGAGCCUGGCGGCGUCGUCGCCGCCGCGGUCGCCGAAGCGAGGUGCCGCCGGCGGCGGCGCCUACUACGUGCAGAGCCCGUCGCGGGACUCGGCGCACGACGGCGGGGGCGCGGGCGGGUACAAGUCGUCGUCGAUGCAGGCGACGCCCGUGUACAACAGCCCCAACGAGUCCCCCUCGCACCCGUCCUACGGCCGCCACUCCCGGGCCUCCUCCGUCAGCCGCUUCUCCGGCAUCCUCCGCGGCGGCAGCGGGCGCAAGGGCGGCGGCGGGGGCGGGGGCCUCAAGGCCGUGAACGCCAAGGGGUGGCCCGAGUGCAGCGUCAUCGAGGAGGAGGGCUCCUACGAGGGCCUCUCCGGCGGCGACAGCGGCCUCUCCGGCCGCUGCAAGCUCGCGCUCGCCUUCGUCAGCUUCCUCCUGCUCUUCACCGUCGUCUGCCUCAUCGUCUGGGGCGCCGCCCGCCCCUACGAGCCCGACGUCCUCGUCAAGGUAGCACACCCGUAUCCAUAUCCAUUCAUCUCGUGCACCCACCCUGCUUGUUUCACUUCCUCAGCACACUCUGAACUGAAUUUUUCCUACACGAUAAUAUGACAUGAAUUCAAACAUCAAUUGCUCCAGUUUCACUUGUGACUCCGGGUAGAUUGAAUUUAAACACCAACUACAUCACUAAUUUAAUUCAAAUCUCCUGGUAGAAUGGUCAGCAAAGACUCCGAAUUGUGCAGGCAAAAUUUGUGCUGGUAGAUCCAUUUGAGCUCUGUUUUCUCUAGAAUCGGCGCUUAUUCACCGUGGCUCCUUGCUCUGAACUCGAAAUCAAAGGGUAUUUAUCUUUUUACCAUUAGUAGUGUAAAUCAUGUUAAUCUAAGGCAAAGCGCCGCUGACUGAAGAAGAGCCAAAUCAGCUGAAACAGCUUCUUCGCUGGGCAUUUUCUGACCCCCUCUUCGAAAAACCAAACUCCGUUGGAAUUUAGUGAUAGGCCACUAAAUAAGUAUACUUACUACAUAGAGAAAGAAACAUAAAACAAUGACCACGAGGCAAAAUAAUUUAUUACAUUUUUCUUCUGUUUUUUGAUAGAGAUGUUGCCGGCUGCCACUGCAGUCAGCCCAGCUUGUCGACUGUCUCACUCACAUUUCCAAACCUCCCCCUGUUCACAAAAAAGUUUUACAGUAGUUAUAAAACACAGUACAAUGUACCUUUGUACUAUUCUGGUACGGUGAACUUGUGCUGCGGAUCUGAAUUUCUCAGUAUGAAGGUUUUGUAGAAAAUGUUCUACUACUAACCAAGAACUUCUUUUUACUCUGUUUUUGCGCAGAGCAUAGCCAUGGACAACUUCUAUGCCGGAGAGGGCACAGACCACAGUGGGGUUCCAACCAAGAUGGUCACGCUGAACUGCUCCCUGAACAUGAUUGUGUACAACCCUGCUUCAAUGUUCGGAAUUCAUGUCUCUUCGGGCCCUGUUCGCCUGCUCUACUCGGAGAUCGCCAUCGGGGUCGGACAGGUAUGCUCUUUUUGGUUUCUGGGUAACAGCCUAGAGAGAGGUGUUGUCGGCGCUUCUUCUUCCUGGCAAGUCAUUUGUCCAUUUCUGAAUAAUGGUGCUCCACAUCUUACCAUGUGGAGUAUGUGAACAGCUUGAGUGGUGAAUAAGCCAUACUCAUUUUACCUCUGCAUUUCACCACUCAAGUGAAGGGUGAAUUUGCAAACUGCAUUCAAAUACUGAAUCCUUGAAGCGUUUUCCAAUAUGUUGUACUCUUGUUAUCCUUCUCGGAGUAUCGGAUCGAAGGUCCUGCAGAUUUAAACUAGAAAAGGCAGUAAGUUUGAGUCAAGAAAGGGGGAUGGGCAUUUAGUAUAAAGAGUAGCAGGAUAGUAUGUUCAUCAAGAUAUGUGAUGUACUGGUUUGACUCACAAUCACUGGCAAAUUCAAAAAUCUGAUGUUAACACCUCUCCUAUGAAUGCAGGUUCACAAGUACUACCAACCGAGCAAGAGCCACCGGCUGGUGUCGGCGGUGAUCCACGGCGAGAAGGUGCCCCUCUACGGCGCGGGGGGCGGGCUCUCGCUGUCGGGGAACGACGUGACGGUGCCGCUGACGGUGGACUUCGAGCUCGUCUCCCGGGGGUACGUCAUCGGCAAGCUGGUGCGGGUGACGCACAAGGUGCACGUGACGUGCCGCAUCACCGUCGACGCCAAGAGGGCGAGGACCAGGAUCCCAAAGAAGGCAUGCGCCGUGUACAAGGCCUGACUCCGGCGAACCAUUUUCCUGCUCCUGCAGCUAAAAAGCCUGUAUUUACUGUUCUGCUGAAGAACAAUAAACAUGUACUAGCAGUAUAUAUAAGGAACCUGUUUCAGCUUCGGUUUUGUUUAUAUAAGUUACUCUCUUGCGCGGCGGUGGUUUUGUCUAUGAGGAAGUGGUUGUACCUAUGUGUGGUGUUAGGGUUUGGUUGGUUACAAGAUGGUAGUAAUGUCAUCCUGUCUGCAACUUCGCAUCUAGGUUGAGAGAGUAGGAUUGGUUUUGUUGGAUCAUGUUUUCAGAGAAACUCCAUCAUUUUUCAGGAAGUAAAAAGAUCCAUCCGGGUAGCUAGAGAGCCACAUGGAUAGUUCAAUGUGCUCAUCAGCGCCUGUCCCGAAGAUGGAUUCUGGGUCUGGUCACCUCACUUGGAGAAGUUGCAUCAUUCGGCGUUUGUUUUCGAGCCAAAAGCCAAAACUGCUCCACACACGAAGAGCUUUGGAUUCAAUCGUCGGCUGCAAAUCGUCCAAAUAAUGUCGUCUGGAUAGAGCCUUGUGGUUUACUCGCUCCCGAGCUUCCUCAACAUUAUGAGGAUGGUCGGAUGUCAUAGAGAUGAUAGAACGGCCCGAAUGCCCGUCGUGGAGAUGAUCGAACCAGCAAUGUUGCAAUUGCUUGCCCUCAUCCGAUCGAGAUGCACCUUGGAUUUCUAACGCGUAGAAUUCAUUCUGAAGUUGCACCUGAACUCGCAAUCUGCAAAAGCUGUUAUUUAAUACCCAUUUGGACGCUGCAAAAUCUGUUUAUUUGAUACCCAUUUGGACGUGAGGCACCAGCAGGGAGGCUAAAAAUUCAGAGUUCUACUGUAAAUAACCCAAUAAAUAAUAUGAAUAUACCGUAGAGGCUCUGAAAAAGAUGGCACCUAUCCUUCUGUAUCAAAUUAAACGACAGUUCAAAGCAUCUGCUGGCAAAGAUCAGACAUUGCAACUAAGUACAGCAGGAAGUGAAUCAGACAAUUUUUCUAGAUCAAAUCAACACAAGGUUAGUUUCAGUCUUGAGAUCCGACAGAUUAAACAGAGUGAAUCAAGCUGUUAUAUUGAUAGAAUGAAGAAUUUUUUACCUUUGAUGCUGUAAAUUCCAGACUAAACAGCAUCUCACAGAAAAGAAUAGCUUUGCUUCACUAGUGCAGAUCAUUUCAACAUGACAGGAGCAAAGGACCAUAAACUGACAUGCUCUACUGUUCACUACAAUGACAAGAGGAAUAAAACAUAAAUUCCCUCCCAUGUUUUACUGCCCAUACAAUUACAUAUCUAAAAUGCACAAUAAACUUCAACAUAGGAUACACAUACACUAUUUGUAAAAGAGGGCAUCCACUAACAGCCCAACACAACAAUCUGGACAUCACAAACAUCAAUCAUGGUACAAAUAAAUGGUAGCUCCGUAAAUUUUAAAUAGCAAAGUCUGCUGCCCGUAUGCUGCUACCAACCAUAAACACAUAGUAUAUGUUUACACAAGACAAGCAGCUAGCACUACUAAGUUAACGGGAACAGUUAGCCCCAUAAAGUGAGGUUACAGAGUACACCCGACAACAAAAGAGGAGUAAUACAACAUCAGAAGGAUCAAACCGGAUAGCUGCUGAUAUUACAAAGGGACCUAUCAUUCAACAUUAUCUGAAAGGUCGACAAUGGAACGGCGAUAUGCAAGCCAGAGUAUCAGUUCCAAUCUGCCAAUUCCUCCAAGUACAAGGGAACAUAAGGAAGGUAGGGUCCCACGGAACCAUUUCCAAGAACGCCGAUGAACUGCACUUUUCCACUAUCCAUUUCAUAAGACACGAGUUCUUUGUCAUGCCCAUAAACAAAGAAAAUCAUGUUUCGUCGCGGGUGGUGGGCGACAAUGUGAAACCUGAUUCCCCGAUGUACAUACUUCUCUCCAAGUAGAUCAAAAGGACUAAUGCUGUGCUUCAAGACCCACACUUCACUGCCGUAGUCCUCAAGAACCGAGAUCAAUAGUCUGUGACCAUCAUGAUGAUCAAUAUUUGCUAAAUACAAACGCCCUUGAGACGGAUCAGUGAACCCGACAGCAAGAUCUAUUUCAGGGCCAAACGGAUUGCAUGGCAUAGGAAUAACCCUCCAAGCAGUUCCCUCCACAUCCACUGCCACCACCGCAGACCAGAUGGCAACAAAAUAAAGAAAACCAUUGCCAAAGGCACUUAAACUCGUUAAUCUAGCCGGGAAGCCCCAACCGCUGUCCUUGUGACUCCAGACGCCGGUUUUGGACGAGUAGAUCUCAACCCCUUUGACGUGGCCAUCCCCGUCCUUCAGGAACUGGAACACAUGGAAGUGCGAGGAGACGGCCGGGUCGAACCCCAGGCGAGCUGUCUGUAUCUUGCUGAAGAAGCCCGGCAAUGGCAAGGCAACCCAUUUCUCCGUGGCAGGAUUGCACACGACGUAAUCAAAUGCCUGCGAAUCAGCGGUCUCGAAGCGGCUGCAGAGGAGUAGGCCGUUGCAGCUGUCCAGAAGGUGGAACCUGUCACAGUCGGGCAGGAAGGCGAGCGAAGGGUCGAUAGCGAUAGGAGGGCGGCCUCCCGUGGAGACAUGGGUGAAAUUGCGAAUCAAUAAAUAGUCAGGGCUGCGGCUCGAGUAGAGGAAUCCGGCGAGGUCAUGGAGAUGGUGCUGCGGCAGCGCCUUGCGGUGGUCGGGGUGGGAGAUGAUGCCGCGCCACCGCUUGGAGACGCACUUGAACCGGCACAGCGACUUGUACGGCACGCGCGACAGGAUCUCGAUGAGGAGGUCUUCGGUGAGCUUGUCCGCUGGAUUCAGAAGCCUGCUGAUGUCCUUGGAGUCGUCCGCCAUUGCCGUGGGGAGAGAAGGCGGUCAACCUGCGAAGGGGGGCGGAGGAGGAGGGAUUUGAGAUCCAUCGACAUCGGCGAGGAGAGCAGCAAGGAAGGAAGAGAGAUUUACGGCGAAUGGGGCGCACGUACCGGGCGAGAAGCGAGUGACGGCGAGGGAGCCCGUUUGAGGUGCUCCCGUCCCCGCCGGCGAGGGUUUGGGUACGCGGCGGCGAGGUGAGGUGAGGUGUGGCGUGGAACUUUUUUUUGAGACAACUGGCGUGGAACUGGAAGACGGGGGAAGUGAAUGAGGAGUAUGCUGUGGCGUGCUGGGCUUUUUUUUUGAGGGGUAUGCUGGGCUGGGCUUUUAUCUGGGCUGUACAGGCAGAGGAUAGCGGAGGAGGAUAGCGGUGUGUCCAGAUUUCAGCCUGCACUUCAGCUGUUCUAUAAGAGCAUUGCCUAAGAAUCCUCAAAAAGAAAAAGGGAAAAAGAGCAUUGCCUAAAAAUAAAGGUGCUUAUUUUUGCUGAAAUCACUGGUUAGAGCACGGGUAUACCCCGCCCUGCAAAAGUCGGCCGCAAAACGUUUUUUUCGCAUUUUUACAACAUGACUUUUGUUCCGGCAAAACAGAUCCCGUAAAAUAUUCCAUUAUCCUGGCAAAAUUGCAUACAGUACGACUUUUGUUUCGGCGAGGUCGCACUUAGGAAAGACUGUGGCUGGAGCUGAAAGUUCCCUCCCUCCAAUCGGUUUUUAUUUUCCAGAUCGCUGCAAGAAAUGCCCUCAAUCCCGUAGAUAUGGAGGAAAUGACCAUGCGGAUUCGGGAUCCCACAAAAAAAAAA
RNAcentral lists this long non-coding RNA (29138 nucleotides) under Triticum aestivum (bread wheat). RNAcentral's name for it is "long non-coding RNA (TAES_LNC014202)". The stretch from base 10255 to 10389 matches the Rfam family "MIR1120/MIR1122 microRNA precursor family". The record is from RNAcentral. Lineage: Eukaryota; Viridiplantae; Streptophyta; Magnoliopsida; Poales; Poaceae.